This 11646-nucleotide long non-coding RNA is filed under the name Gallus gallus (chicken). RNAcentral's name for it is "lncRNA (ENSGALG00010010148.1)". The record is from RNAcentral. Lineage: Eukaryota; Metazoa; Chordata; Aves; Galliformes; Phasianidae.
CCUACCUGUGUUCUCCUGAUGCUCCUGAGAUCUCCAAAUAUGCAGAGUGAACAUAAACUAGAUCGAUCUUGGCUCUUGUCCUGCAUUUCCAGCAUGUUCCAGAGACCUUUUCAGUGCUGAAAUAGCUCCUGUCUGCUCAGGGCAGGAAGCUCAAGGUUGCUCUUCAGGGGCACUGCCAGCCCUGCGCAGACCUUGCUGCUCUUUGUAGGGUCAAGGUGGGUCUCUAGGCACAGGUUGCGGUGUGUUCUGAAUGAGCAGCAGUUCCACCAUGCUGUGGGAAGCAAACACCUACACCCAUUCCUUGCACACCAUGCCCAUGGAGCCAGCACGCCUGAAAGGCACAGCCUCCCUGCCGGGAAGUGCCAGAGUGCCCAGACGGAUGCAGGGAUGGAGCAGACUGCCCAGAGGUGCAUGGCUUUAGAGUCCUGGUCCAGCGUGCAGGUCCAUCGCCUCCUGAAGAAGUUCAGAGCGAGCAGGUCCAGGCUUGGCAGAGUGAGAAAUAGAAAAGAAAACGAGGGGGACAGUGUGGAAGGGGUGGCUGGCUUCUCAUUAAGGAGCAUUUCAGCUGCUGGUCUGAAGGAAGACUUUGAAAAGAAAGCGCAGAGCCCUCCUGGCAGGGCAGCGAGCCCAGCUGCCCUCCCCACGUCUCACUUUUUAUAAAUUCUGGGAAACACUUUUAGACAGACACUGGCACUCAUAAAUUAUACAACUCAUUUGCAUAUUCCAGUCAUGAGACAUUAUGCAAAUGUGACCUGAUUUGCAUAAUGGAUUCCUCUCGUCGCUUCACUUGCUUCAUGCUUUUAAAAAACAAAAUGAAAUAAAAUGAAAGCACAAGAAGGUGGAAGCGAUGAGUUCCCAGCCCCGCCGCGUCUCCUCCCAACCGCACCGUCAUUCACCAGCAGAGACCGGGGCGAGGGAGAGCGAAAGCGAAAAAACAAAGCCCUCACAUGGUGUAUUUCGCCUGUAAUUACGACCAUCUAACUUUCCCCUGGUUGAGAUUCUUCACCCCAAGUGACAUAUCGGAGCCAACCGAGGAAACAAAAAAUGCCCUGGAAAACAGGAUAAGCAGAAAAGGGCAGCGUUCCCCAGGCUCCCCGCCCCAGCACCUCCAGCUUGCGCGGAUGGGAGCCCCGCCACGCGGCCGAGCUGCCCUCCUGCUGCCCCUCCAGCAGAGCCCGUGCAGCCAUUGAGCGCAGAGGGGAGGGAGCAUUGGGACUGUUUGUCGCAAAACACGAUGGUGACAUCUUGGGAAGGAUGAGACGGGCGCACAUCAGCUUCCUUCCGCCGUGCUCCAAAGACAGAGCCUCUGCAGCCACCCAGCUCUGCUGUGGGCGCAUCCCUGCCCCCCUGCACCGCACGAGCGGCAGCGCCGUGCCAGGCGGCUGUACCCUGUGGGAAAAGUUAACUGUAAUUCUUCAGCUUUUAAAAUCAAUUAACCCGUGUGUUAAUUAACGUCAAGUCGACGGGAGGAGGAGGAGGAGGGGAGAGAGGGAGGGAGGAGGGAAGAAAAAAAAGCUGCAAGGGCGGAUGGCAGAAGAGUUGGCACAGUGCCAUCCAUUCAGUGGCAACGCCACAGUUCCGUGUGAUAACGGCAGCGGGUAUAUGUUACGGGGGCCCUGUGCGCGGGCCAGACAGUGCGGUAACGCUAAGGGAGAUUAUCCAGACCCCCAGGAGCAAGCGGCGCGCAGCGAGCAGAGGCGCAAGUGCCAGGAUUACAGACGAGGCUCUCCGCCGCCAGCCCUGCCUUGGACACGCUCGGCUAUGGGCACAGCACGCCGGCUUCCAGCACGUUUCCCCCUUGAACGUCAUUCUGCCGCAGUGGAGCCAGCACAACGGAUGCUUUCACACCCCGCGAGACAAAGGCCGUCGUCUCCGCCAUGACACCGCGCCGCUCCAUGCCGAGGCCGGCAUCUUGGAGGCUUCAAAAAUAAAGGGAAAUCGGCAACGCGGACAAUAAAAACGGCAAAAGAAAAAGGCUUGGCAACAACCCCCUCGUGCCCGCUCGCCGUGCCAGGGGCAACAUGGGCAUCUGUCGCAGCAGAAGUGCCAUCUGAGGCUGUACCAACGCGGGCGACGGACAGUGCCAUUCGCCAUUCGGACAAGCUGAGGGAGAGGUGCCAGCCCUGCAGCUCGGGAGGGACCCGAGAGGGGAGCACGAAGGUCUCCAAACAGCACGCCGAGGGAAGGAAGGAAUACCGCUCUCAUAGGGCAGGAUCACAGCUGCACACAGCCUCUGCUGGGAGGAGAGGGAAUGUUUGUAGAUAGCGAGAUGCCUGUGUAUGCACAUACACACAGAGCAGUGUGCGUGUGGACACACAUACACACAUGCACACAAUGCCUCAGAUAAUUGCAGAUUAGAAGUAUGAGUGUGUGUGCGUGUGUGCGGAGAUGUGUGUGUACUGUGUGCACACAUACAUGUGCGGGGAUAUAUAUCUGUGUGCACGCAUGUAAUAUGCGUACAUACACGUGUGAGGAGAUGUACGUUUGUGUGCUUGGGAGAGACAAAUUCACACACACACGCAUCCACACAGUGUGAGCAUACAUCCCACUUUUUGACCUAGGUAUACACGGAAGACAAAAUAAAAAUCAUACUCCAGCAGCAAGCAGGCAGUCAGAGAUUUAUCUACAUUCACUGCUAUCACCAGGGAGAUGAAUGGGGCCGAUCUGAAGCCCUUUGCAAGAUCCACUAUAGGAGUGAAGGAGGAGGAGGGAUGCCACACAGACAUGCACAAACUUGAAGACAGAGAGAUUUGGAAGGUGCUACUUGUGAAACCCAGGUGGCACUCCGGAGGGUGAGCGAGGGAAAGAGCCGCACACACUCUGCAGGGGCCGGAGGGCUUUUGGAAGAGGGCGUCAAGGGACAGCUGGCUACUUACGUUGUGUUGUCUGCGCUGCUGAGGAUCCUGCAAGGUGUUCUGUUGGCACCGGGCGCUGAGCCAGGGAAGGGCACUGGAAACAAAAGGGAGAGACAAAAAAUAAAGUCACACAGCGGGAAUAUUAAUUGCCUCUCUUGCGGAUUUUACAAAACACACAAAAUGUUUUCUUCUUGCUGUUCCUUUUUUUUUUUUUUUUUUUUUUUUUUUUUUUUUGUGGAUUGGCGCGAUUCCCCUCUGCGUGGAAAAUACUAGCAUGGGAUUUACAGCCCAGCUACAGGGCUCGGGAUUAACAGCGCUGGCAUCUUUUGGGCAUAUUUUUUCUGUUAAUGAAUGAGCUUUCGCUGUUAAUGAGGAAUAAUCGUUUGGCUAAUGAGCUUUGAAACAUUAAGAGAAAAGAGGGUUUUUUUCCCGUUAAUCGCCCUGGUGCGACCGCAUGGAUGGAUUACAAAAGACAGCAGUAGGAACGCAGUACAAAGGGGGGGAAACGUCUCCUGGAGUGGGAUAAAUGCAGAGAUGGGUGAUGUGUCCCCGCAUCUCUCCUUCCUUCCCUUCCCUCUCUCUCUGCCAACUGCUAUGGGUUUCCAUAACUCCGCAAUCAAAGUGGAUAUUCGGGAAAGAUUAUUAUAGUCAAACAGCGGAGUGUCGGCUGUUAAUGUCUCCAGUGUUUAAUCAUCAUACAGUAGAAUGGUUUUAUGCAUAUUUCAUUUGCAUAUCAUUAAACUGCAUUAGCACAGGACGUUCAGAGCUGGAGAGGUACAAAGUUGGGGGGAGAGAGAGGGAGAGCGAGAAAGAGGCAGAGGGAGGAAGGUCCCUGUGAUGCCUAUCUUCAAAAGCAGGGACUUGUUCCAUGGUCUGUCUUCUACUUUUCCUAAAAUCAUGGUGACUUGGAAACCUUUGAAGUUGGAUAUAACCUUGGAUUCUUCUAAUUUCAGCAGAGUGAUGUAUUAGAAAGGGGUAAACGAUGCUGCGCUAGACAUUUAAAGGAAUAUAAGCUCCAGUGGAAUGGAAAUAGGAGCUCUUUGGGGAACAGACUGGCAGAGCCAGCUGCGGCUUCAACAAACACCACAUUUCUUGGUUAAUAUUAGUAAAGGAUACCAGAGUAAAACAAAAGAAAUGAAGACAACAUAUACAUUAAGAUGGGGAUUAUAUUUCUCUUUCUCUUGCUUUUCUGUUUUUUUUUUUUUUUUUUUGAAGAUAAAAAGGAGGAUGGAACCAGCGGUAAUUUAUGCAUUAAUUAGCAAGCAAUUGCCUCUUGUGUUUGUUUUUCUUCUCUCUUUAUUUUGGAGAGGGGUGUUGUCACUGCCGAAGAGAUUAAUCAAUUAUUUGGUAGUUCAGAUCCUUCUCCACCGGCACCGAUAGGAAUGAGGUGGUGGUGGUUGCGGGGGGAGGAACACAGUGGGCUCUUUGUAGGUCUUAUACAUGCACAACAUAUUAAUUGGGGUCUUUAUAAAGCUCCCUCAAUAGACUGUUUCUUCUGUGGUAAAACAGCAGCUGGUUAGCCACUGUUGGCGACUCUUCAAAUAUCAUUUUUGCUGGGGGCAUUUCUACCGCUGUUUGUUGUUUUGCUUUAUUUUCUUUCCCAAUGGAGGGGGCUGCCCGCGCGAUGCUAUGCUGCCCGCUGGUCUUGAAUGGCAGAAAGAUAGACAAUAUCAAUAUCGAGACGAUCUCUUGAGCUGAAUGCAGAACUUUGCUUCAAAAUGAAAUGCUGUUUUAUAUUUAAAUUUUCCUCCUUCUCCCUCCCCCACGUUUCUUCUCCAAGUCUUUGUCUCGGCUAUGAAUAUUCAGAUGAGCUGUGAUGUGAUUACACUGUACAAUUACUUUCGUCCAUGGUAGUGGCAAAGGCACUGAGGAAAGACAGAGCCAGACAAGCUCAGAGCUCAUUUGGGGUUUGUUUUCUCUAUUUUUGCCCAUCUCUGUAGCGCUGCAGCACAUGCAGAUGUCGCUGUUGUUCUUUAUAAUUCUUUAUAAUGAUAUGCAAAGGCAUAACGACCCCAUUUGGGUGCACAGCAUCAACGAUAUAUUAUUGGGGGGGGGGGGGGGGGGGGAAUCCUGACUGAAGGAAUGUCCACAUAAAUUAUUUUUAUUUAAAUCAGUUGAAGGAGGUGGUGGUGAAGCAGAGGAAGUCACAUGAAUACAUGCAUAAUGUUAAUAUGCAGAAAGGUUAUUGCCAAGGAGAAGAGUGUUUUCUGCACAGCGCUUGGGACAAACAGGCUCAUUAGGGAAUAGCACAGCCCACUGCGUGAUUUACUUAUUUAUCAUUACUCAUACUUAAGCUGGGGCACCAGUCAUGCUCACUGCCUGGAGACUCUUUGAGGACCAGGAGCUCAGUGCCUACACCAUUCCCUGCUUCCAUUCAGAAAUUUCAGUGAUAUACACGGUGGGAGGGGGACAGGAAGAGGAACUGGAGGGAGAAUGUGUUAAGUGCCAUGCUUCAGUAACAAAGGAGGAGCUCAAUGACAGCCUUGUGGGUAAAGUGACAACACGGCAGUGCGUGUUAGUGUUUAGAUGCUGUUGCUGGCUCAAGGCAGGCUUCUGUGCAUUGCUUCAGGGACAGUACAAGUGAUGCAGUGCCCAUGCCCUGCCCACUGCUCUGUGCCUCCAGCACAGGGAUGACAGUCUGGGAGUGGGCUGCUCCCAGCCACAUGUGCCACCAGGAUACUGAAGGUGGGACAGACCUGGCAGAUAGUGAUUCCUGGUUCCUGGGCUGUAUCAGCAGAGGAAUGGCAGUGGGGCAGGGAGGGGAUUGUCCCCUCCGCUCUGCUCUUGUGGGACCCCAUCUGGAGCACUGUAUACAGGCCUGGGGCUCCCAGCACAAGAAGGAUGUGGAACUGUUGGAGCAGCUUCAGAGGAGGGCCACAAAGAUUAUCAGAGGAUGGAGAAUGUCUCCUAUGAAGAUAGGCUGUGGGAACAAUGCUUCUUCAGGCUGGAGAAAAGAAGACUGGGGAGACCUCAUUGCAACCUCCUAGUACUUGAGGGGAGCUUAUCAACAGGAGAGUGGUAGGACAAUGGUGAAUGGCUUUAAACUAAAAGAGUGGAGAGUUAGAUCAGCUGUUGGGAAAAAAAUUUCUACCCAGAGGUGGUGAAGCCCUGGCACAGGCUGCCCGGAGGGCUGUGAAUGCCCCAUCCUUGGAGAAGCCCAAGGCCAGGGAUGGGGCCCUGGGCAGCCUGAUCUGCCCACAGCAGGUGCAUUGGGACUACGUGAUCUUUAAGGUCCCUUCCAGUCUAAGCCAUUCUGUGAUUCUGUGAUCCUCUCUCACCUGCUUCUUCCUCAGAACGGGAAUUGUUAUCACUUGAUAUUUUUAACACACAAAUGUGUGUGUAUGGAGAAGAACCUCUUGGCUGCUCUGUGCUCUGCUAGGAAUGCUUUUUUGGAUCAGGGUCUUGUAUGUACUUAGGGUUAACAAAGAUUUAAUGGGCCAUCACAGAACAGCAACGCCCUCAUUGCAGCGUAGUGACAUUAGCGAAGGACAUUAGAAAAACCUGCUUGUGUGCCCGCUGUGCACAGAUCCUGAAUCAGCCUCUACAACGCCCAUGGUGUAAGAAAGGCUCAUACUGCUGCCAGCCUUAUCUCCAGAGAAGGACCAUGGCUUUAAACACAAGAAGAGAACAGGCAGGAUGGAAAAUAAAGACUUGCAGGUGGGACCUGUUCUCAGAGGAGCUGUCCUCUCCUUCCAUCCUGUGGGCACAUGCAGAUGCUGCCAAUAACUAGAAACACUACUGAGCAGAUCCCCAGCUGCCAGACCGGGGUUGUUUCUCUGCCUUUUAAUAGUGUCUGACAAGGAUAUGGUAUGAGCAUCUGUUCAAAGCAGGCUGUGGAGUCCUGAGCAAACAGCUACCAGGUCUUCAAGCAGGCUCUAUCACUAAAAGAGCACCAAGAACCUUGAACAGAAGGAUAAGGCUCUCAUCUAAGGACUAAUGGGCAGAGGAUGCAGUGGCCCAUAGCAAAGAGGGACUGCUGCCCAAUGCCUGAAGAUUCAUAACUAUGAUCUCAUCUAUUAGUUCUCCGAAUCAAGUUCCUUCCUGCAUCUCCACAGAUGCAUUUGUAAUGCACACGCACACACCCUUCUGUAAAGCCACCUGGGAAUCUGAGCACAAGGCAAGUCUGCCAGCUCCGAACAAAAACAGGACACCAAUACCACCUCUAGGCAGGAAUCCUAAAUCCAGCCUCUCUCUGCUCAAAGUUGAAAAAGUGCAAAAAUUCAAGGCACAAGGGAAGUCUGACCAUCAGCCUGACUUAGGGUUAGAUAUGAAUAUCCCGUCCAUGACCACACAACACUCUUGAAGGCCCUACUGAGACACGUUACCAUCCAGACAAAAUGCAACUGGUAUGGCAGCCAGCCAGACCUCAGAGAGUACCCUAGAGCCUGUCUGCUGCAAGGCACUGAGCUGCUGCCAUGAGCCGCAGUGACCCAAGCAGAUCACCUCCGCCUCACCCACCCAUACCAAUGGCUUUCUGACCCCAGCGCAGUGGAUCCCAUCAGCGACUCUUUCUAUAGGUAGCAGGAAGAAGAUUACAGAUGGGAAAAGAAGCACAGGUUGUACCAUAUAAGCAAUGUGUGUGAAGCAGAGGAGUGGUGAUGCAGCUCGCAGCAAGAGGCAGUGAUACUCUGAGAUGCCCACACUGCUCUGCAUACUACCAGGGAUGCUCUCACACAGCUUCUGCAGGGCUGUUCUGGCCGUGCAGGCUGCUGCUGCUCUUUAACAUGCACAGCUGUGAAAUAUGACUGCUGCUGUUUCAAACUACUCCUGAUUGCAAAUCUGUGACCACUGUGAAGUGAAUCUCCCCAUGGAGACUUUAGAAAGGGGCAGCUAUUAUAAUGCCACAGGAACCAUUGCUCUGCUUGUCAUUGUACCAAGCACCCUGAAGAAAUGGCUGUUUAGAAAAGGAAAUUCAAGAAUUUAUGAAACAUAUUGAUAUUCAAAAAGAAAGAAAAAAAAUAGAUUGUUUUGCAAAUAGUAGCACUGCUGAAGAGUGGAAAGAAGUGCAUCAGUCAUUUGAUAUUACAUAUAAGCUGUUUAUUAAAGAAUUAAAUAUUUAUAGACUAUAAAGCAAGCAGGGCGAUGAGUCGCAAACAGCUUGCUGAGAAGUAUGUUAUAAACAAUGAGUCUGUCAGUGACUAAUAAAGUAUGGAGAACACAAAUGUUUCAUGAACCACCAGGUCAGCUAUCAAUCCCCAAAGCCACUGAGGUUCCUGCUGCAGUGCAAGCCUGGAGCCAACAUGGGAGGGACAGUGUCUGAUGAGAGAUGUGGAGCACAGACACAUGCUGAGCACUCGUGGGAAUGCACAUGAUUCAAUGCCUUAGAGAGAUUUACUUUUUCACAUUAUUUUAAACACAGAUCUAUUAAUAGGAAGUGCAGGAAUUUUGGAGUUCGAGACACUUCCCUCUUCAGUUUUUCACUGCAUCUACUCUUCCAUUUCCAACAAAACUACAGUCUGUGAUUCAGACUGAAAUUCCUCUCUGCACAAAGCUCUUUCGUUCCCUCACAGACAUGAAAGGUGCAGAUACUCCAGGCACCAGCUUCCCUGUUCUGAGUGACGGCAGACAGCUCACACUUAUAAAGGCUUUUUAAGAGGAACAAAUAGUUUCUAGCCCAGAAAGACAGCAAUCCCUUUCUUCUUAUUAUUAUUAUUAUUUUUAGAAGAAACUGACAAAAGUGUGCACUUUAUACUAUUUGAGAAGGACAUCCCUCAUUUCUCAAUAGCAUACAGACAUCGAUCAUAUUAAUUUGGAGGAAAAAGCUGCUUUAUUACUAGUGGAGAUAUAAUUAAAAUCUCUUCAGAUUAUUUUUAUUUUUCUGGGUGCAGCCCAAGGCCUAGAAAUUAUUUCUAAUGGAGGACAAGCUGAUACCUUUGGUCAUUUCAAAGCUGAUUCCUAUAACUGUUCUCACAGUUUCAAGUCUGGUAAGAUGGCGGAAGCUCCCAAGUGGUAUCAGCAUUUGUGACCCUUUAGAAUUUACUCUCUUUGCAAGCCAGCAGGAUUUAGACCUGCUUCAAAAAUCCCAGUCACCACAAAUCCCACUCCUCCGACAGUCACUGUACUAAAUAUCAUCCUCCAAGGCUGCAAGCCAAAGUGUUGUCUGCUGAGACAACGAGGGGAGAAUCCAUACAGAGAGAGGAGACAGAACUGGUGCCUUCUUGCUCUCAAACGUCGUCCACUGAAGAACCAUAUUAAAUUAACACAGGUGUACGCAGGCUGAGAACCAACCAGGCUUGGGGAGGACAGAUUCUGUUUAAGUUGUAGAAAGAAACUCCAUUUUGCCAGCUGUUCUUUCUGUAUUUAGAUAAGGUUGUAGAUUUUAAUCCUCCGAAACACAAGUUACAUCUUUUUACUGUUAAAAACCAGUAAUUAUUCAAGCUUAUUUUCCUGGGAAGAUACAUCAGACAAAAUUUCGGCUUAAAGAGCAACCUUUGCUGUUGUGUGUGGAAAUAAUUACAGCAUGGUUUGGAUCUCAGCAGACCUUUAGGCUGACAAAGGAGGUAUACAGAAAAGCACAGUCCAAUCAAAGGCACAAAACCCAUUAGUUCCAGAUGACUCGUUUGCAGCGGUCCAUCUCUGGAGAGCACAGAGCCUAUUAUCUUCAGGGAUCCCGACAGGCGAGCACGGUACCUUCCAGAGAGCACUGUCACCAGCCUGAUGGAAGAAUCAGACUGCUCCAUCUGUUCCAGCACCAUCCUGUGCUGGUGGGACCCUUCCUAUCUCCCCCAGCUUCACCAGUUAUGGAGCACAGCAAGAAACCCUAAGCGUGCGCUCAAACUACAACAAGACCAGCUGAGCUGGAAAUGAAAACUCUGUUCUCCGUUCUCCUCUCUCCUUGCAGUCCAGCUCUUUUAUCUCUCCAUACCAGCCAUCAUUUACCCCUGAAGAGUUGUCUUUACCUGGGUGAUUUUAGCUACUGUUACUCUAUCGUUCUCCUAACCCACAAUUCUAAAACCAUGGAACACACUUGGCUUAGGGUUACAUGUAUCAAGGAGCUUGCCUCCCUUCCAUAGACCAGUCUGUUAGCAGGAUACAGAGGUCUGCUCCUGAUCCACUCUCAUCUCUUUUGUUGAAGAGUACAGUGCUGUGCUCAUCUCCAACUAGCUCAACAACACCGGGCCAUCAAAACACACCACUUCAGGACAUAACUCACUCACCCAGGCUUUGAUGCACUUUUCUAUUCCAUAUUCCCUCUGCGUUUCUUUGCUCCUCCAGCUGCCUUUAACCCCUGCCUCCAGGCACACUUCAGCACUCACAACUCCAGAUACUCUUUUGCUUUCCUGACUGUCCUCCUUCCACUCAAGCACUUUGGUGGAUUUUGAGUUGAUUGAAAAACAGGCACUGUUGGAUGAAAGCUCCUUACUUCCACUUGUUUGCUGUGGCCAUGCAACUCCCAAAGGCUGUGGAGUCGCAGGAGAAAACUGCCCUGGGAGGAUGGUUAGAAGCACUAUAUAGUCUCAAGUAGCAUGAAGUGCAUUACCAAAGGCUCAACAGACCAGCUGGGUCACAUCUCCACAAAAACACGUACUUUGUUGCCCAAUAUCUGGCACACAUCACUUGGAAUACAAACAUAUCUCAGUGUGUUUUGAGACAAUUUGUUGUCUACUAUCUACCAUUCUACAGUUCUGAAAGUACCUUAUCCCCUAUUCUCAUGGAUUCAGGUAUCAAAUAGAGAAAAUACACAGGUACUUCAUAUAUUUUGUUAUAUAUGUUCCCUAUGUACAUUGAAAGGGCAUUAUUUUAUUUUAAUGGACUCCUUUAAGGAAUAUUUGUCAUUUCAGAAGUCUGCGAGUGAGGCUACUGCUUAGCACGUUCCUUCUGCCUGCCCUGCCAGAUAUAUGGCUACAGGAUGCUCUUGAAGCACCUGGCAUGUGUCCCACAGAACCAUUGCCUCCCAGCAGAGCACAUGGAAGUGCUCUUUUGCUAAUAUGAUGUAUGGCUGUCAUGUCGCCUGUUGGUUUUAACACUGCAAUCUUUGAUCACUGAGAACCGUUUGAGUCCACCCUGCAGUCCCUGCAUCCCAAAGCAGUGGAUCCUGAACAUCCUGCACCCUUCAUCAAAUGCCAGGCUGAGGUUUUACCAUGGAUUUAAUCCAAUAUGUCUGGAUAAUGACCAAGGAAUGGAAGAGGGACAUCCCGCCUUCCUCCAGCAUUGGCAUUCCUGCCAUCUCCCACAUGACGUUACCCCAUGCCAGUUCUUACCCAGAUAACUCACUGAUGUAGCUGGUGAGCAGUAGUGGUACCAGUAUAAAGGAGGUGAAAGAUCACAAGUUAAAAGCUAGGAAGGGAAGAUUACAAGGUUGGAACUUUUGCUUUAAACAUGGGAGGUUAUCUAUUUUAAAACAACAAUUAUUUAUUUAUUUUAAUUUUAACAAGAACACUAGGAAGAACAUUUGUUAGUGUAUAGGCUGCUAAUAACUGCCCAUGGAGGAACUUUUCUGUAUCUGGUUGAAACGAGAACAACUAAGUCAAUUCCUGAUUUAUUCCAACCCAUCAUUUCUCUGCAUUCCUAUUGUGUGAGACAUUUUUGCCUUGCUGGGGUCCUUGAGAAACUGAGCAGUGCUUCAGAUGUCAUGCUUGGAAAGAGAACCCCAGCUGGUUCUGGGUAGCAGGGGGGUCCAUGUGCAGUGGGACUGGCUCUGUACUCUUGUCAUCAUGGAGAACAUCUGAGACCCUCUUCUGGCAGAUGGUGACUCAAUAAACAAAUCUGAGCUUGUCUUCAGUAACAGAGUGUUAUUAUAUAAAAGCUUCCAAAUAGAAAACGAUCAAUGUGCUCUUAGGAGAUAUUGGAG